AUGGUGAAGAUCAGUGAAUGGAUUUGGCUGUAUUGAACAUCUGGUUACAGGGUGGCCAGCUCAUCUGGCAAAGUAGAGAUUGUUGCCAUUUAUGACUCCUUUAUUGACCUCAACUACAUGGUCUACUUGGUCCAAUAGGACUCCAUCCAUGACAAGUUCAACAGCACUGUCAAGGCUGAGAAUGGGAAGCUUGUCAUCAACAGGAAGGCCAUCACCAUCUUCCAGGAGUAAGAUCCCACUAGCAUCAAAUGGGGUGAUGCUGGUGCUGAGUAUGUUAUAGCGUCUACUGGCAUCUUCCCCACAAUGGUGAAGGCCAGGGCUCACUUGAAGAGUGGGAACAAAAGGGUCAUUAACCACCCCCCUUUCUGCCAAUGCAUCCAUGUUUGUGAUGGGCGUGAACCACGAGAAGUAUGACAACUGCUCAAGAUUGUCACCAAUGCUCCUGUACCACCAACUGCUUAUACCCCAGCCAAGGUCAUCCAUGACAAGUUUGGUGUUAUAGAGGGGCUCAUGACCACAGUCCAUGCCAUCAUUGCCACUCAGAAAACUGGAUGACCAUGGGGCUGCCCAGAGCAUCAUCCCUGCAUCUACCGCUGAUGCCAAGGCUGGGGGCAAGGUCAUCCCAGAGCUGAACAGGAAGCUCACUGGCACGGCCUUGUACGUUCCUACCCGAAUGUGUCCACUGUGGACCUGACGUGCCACCUGAAGAAAGCUGCCAGCGAUGACGACAUCCAUGUGGUGUCCCAACUCAGGCAUCCAAGGAACAACUGAAAGGCAUCCUGAGCUACACUGAGGACCAGGUUGUCUCCUGCCUGACGUCAACAGUGAAUCCCACUCUUCCACCUUUGAUGCUGGGGUUGGCAUUUCUCUCAAUGACAACUUUGUAAAGCUCAUUUCCUGGUAUGACAAUGAAUACAGCAACAGGGUGGUGGACCUCACAGCCUACAUAGCCUUCAAGGAAUAA
This 964-nucleotide long non-coding RNA is filed under the name Mus musculus (house mouse). RNAcentral's name for it is "long non-coding RNA chr5:142283105-142284069". The record is from RNAcentral. Lineage: Eukaryota; Metazoa; Chordata; Mammalia; Rodentia; Muridae.